RNAcentral lists this long non-coding RNA (394 nucleotides) under Athene cunicularia (burrowing owl). RNAcentral's name for it is "lncRNA (ENSACUG00000010745.1)". Lineage: Eukaryota; Metazoa; Chordata; Aves; Strigiformes; Strigidae. The record is from RNAcentral.
AUAAAUUUUCUGAGCCUACUUGCCACAUGGAUAAACAUAAAGGCAAAAAUACAAAAAAGAAGAUAAAGGAAUGUAAAAAACAGAAUCCAAAACCUGAUGAAAUGGUAGAACAAACCACCAGACAAAAACUACCUCGAAGAGCAGCAUUAGCAAAAAAUUACAAAGAGCCUUCCAGUUCUGAGUCAGAGAGUGAAAGAAAAUCUCCAGCAUGCACCUUUAAGGAGGAGAAAUCAAAAAUACAGAAACAUAUGAAUUGGGAAAACCGGGAUGAUAAUCAGCAAAAGGAACUCCAGACUGUUGUAUCUAUGGAGCCAAAAAGAGUAGCUAACUAUGUACAUAAAGUAUUUAUUAAAACAAAGAAUUCUGCAGAACAAAAGGAAAUUGAAACUCCUUC